Molecule: long non-coding RNA, 334 nt
Organism: Sipha flava (yellow sugarcane aphid)
Lineage: Eukaryota; Metazoa; Arthropoda; Insecta; Hemiptera; Aphididae
Exons: 3
Source: RefSeq, a predicted model, not a curated record
UUUUUUUUGGAUCGACCCAAAUCAAUUUUCCUCCGGGAGCCGGGGAUCCCCUUUUCAUUUCUACUUCUGAACCUACACUUUGAAUAUUUAGUGCUACUGUUGGAUCACUCUGGUUAAACCCCUUCUUGCUAAAUGCUAUAUCACCGCAUCAAGGACAUUCUGCACUGGAGCAUUUCUGAAAAAGAUUAUUGGUCAAGAAUUGCUGUACAUGUUUGAAAAAAGGAUAUACAAUUAUUUAAUGGUGUUGAAGGAAUAGGACGCAAGUUCUGGCACACAUGGGACGUUUCGGCCUUGUUCCUCUUCUUCUGGCCAAAAGGUACACUUAGUCACUGAC